This 253-nucleotide unclassified non-coding RNA is filed under the name uncultured Caryophanales bacterium. RNAcentral describes it as "uncultured Bacillales bacterium contains 16S-23S intergenic spacer region". It matches the Rfam family "Bacterial small subunit ribosomal RNA", at positions 524 to 776 of the family's 1533-position model. Lineage: Bacteria; Bacillati; Bacillota; Bacilli; Caryophanales. The record is from RNAcentral.
UACGAGGGGUCCUAGCGUUGUCCGGAAUUAUUGGGCGUAAAGCGCGCGCAGGCGGCCUCUUAAGUCUGAUGUGAAAGCCCCCGGCUCAACCGGGGAGGGCCAUUGGAAACUGGGAGGCUUGAGUACAGAAGAGGAGAGUGGAAUUCCACGUGUAGCGGUGAAAUGCGUAGAUAUGUGGAGGAACACCAGUGGCGAAGGCGACUCUCUGGUCUGUAACUGACACUGAGGCACGAAAGCGUGGGGAGCAAAAAGG